RNAcentral lists this long non-coding RNA (1264 nucleotides) under Salmo salar (Atlantic salmon). RNAcentral's name for it is "lncRNA (ENSSSAG00000105021.1)". Lineage: Eukaryota; Metazoa; Chordata; Actinopteri; Salmoniformes; Salmonidae. The record is from RNAcentral.
AUUGGAAUGUGAUACAAAACAAGGCAACGGUGUGCUUUAGGACCCUGCGGACACCUCCGAGCGGUCAGGUUGGAGUGUCUAUCCGACUGGAAUUAGGACUACGCGAACACCACAGAGCGGGCUGACAGGUGGUGUGAAGGCAAAGCUUCUGGAAGGCUGGCUGGACCAGCACGGGAGAGUUGAGCAUAGUACAGUGUGUACGCGUUGCAAUCUUUCACCGAGUUGUAAAAGGAAGCAAAACAGAAACUGGCAAAUCUUUAGUUGACUGAUGUAGCUGGCAAGGGGUGAUGGUCGGAUUCGCGUUUAUCAUUGAAGGAAUGAGCGUUACACUGAGGCCUGUACUCUGGAGCGGGAUCGAUUUGGAGGUGGAGGGAACGUCGUGGUCUGGGGCGGUGUGUCACAGCAUCAUCGGACUGAGCUUGUUGUCAUUGCAGGCAAUCUCAAUGCUGUGUGUUACAGGGAAGAUUUCCUGCAAGAUUUCCUGCAAGACAGGAAUGUCAGUGUUCUGCCGUGGCCAGUGAAGAGCCCGGAUCUCAAUCCCAUUGAGCAUGUCUGGGACCUGUUGGAUCGGAGGGUGAGGGCUAGGGCCAUUGCCCCCAGAAAUGUCUGGGAACUUGCAGGUGCCUUGGUGGAAGAGUGGGGUAACAUCUCACAGCAAGAACUGGCAAAUCUGGUGCAGUCCAUGAGGAGGAGAUGCGCUGCCGUACUUAAUGCAGCUGGUGGCCACACCAGAUACUGACUGUUACUUCUGAUUUUGACCCCCCCCUUUGUUCAGGGACACAUUAUUCCAUUUCUGUUAGUCACAUGUCUGUGGAACUUGUUCAGUUUAUGUCUCAGUUGUUGAAUCUUGUUAUGUUCAUACAAAUAUUUACACAUCUUAAGUUUGCUGAAAAUAAACGCAAUUGACAGUGAGAGGGCGUUUCUUUUUAUACUGAGUUUAAAUGCAUUGCCAUUAAUAGGAAGGUUGGUUAUCCUCCCACAAUGUAUAGAAGAAAUGUCAACUUAUGUACAGUAUCACUAGAUUUGUUUUAAGAUUAAGGGUAUACUGUGCAACUUUCAUGAGGUCUGGAUGCCUUAUGUGGAAUACUGUAACACAAAGGGAGUAUGUAUUGAAAACAUGCCUAUGUCAGGGGAGAUUUAGGCAAUCUUUAGCUGCUGGGCAGCUCAGUCCUGGCCCUGGGGGUCUGCUGUGCUGUUGUCACUCUGGCCUAACACACCUGAAACCAAUAAUGAAUGUUUCACUAAGAUCCUAAAGCUGAGUGGG